CCUGCAGCUUUGGAUCAGCAGGACCAGCCCUUUUGCAAGUGCCCAGCAAUUCACAGUUCACAGUGAGGGGUGGGGCCGGUUCUGCACAUCACCUGGGUAGCUGGUGGCUGCCCAGACCCCAGGACAACCUCAUGGUCUCUAGUGGCAAUAUGAGCCACCGAUACUGACAUCGACCCCUGCCACUGCUUAGCCACGGAUCCAGAUCCAGGUCCUCAGCAAUAGCAUGGGCGGGGACGUCAUCAUGGCCUCAGGUCUCUGGAUGUCUCCCGGGUUUACUUUUAACCUCUACUGCCAUCAGCACAGUCCUGGGUGACACUGCGAUGACCUCCUUGUCACUGACCUCCGCACAGCAAUCAAUGGUCCCAGUCGGAGCAUGCUUCCUGACAGAGCAUUUUGGAAAGAGGCCUCAGAAGAGCUCCCCAAAACUGGUCCCCAAAAUUGCAUCAUCUGGGGAUGCUGACAGGAAGCAAGAAAAACAAAAAUAGGAUCCAUCCGUGAUACAUUCAUAGUCCUUUUUUUUUUCCCCAAAAAACCUCGAGUACAGUUGAUUCUUUACCAGU
Mus musculus (house mouse) is the source of this 560-nucleotide long non-coding RNA. RefSeq annotates it as predicted gene, 34968. NCBI's taxonomy places the organism in Eukaryota, Metazoa, Chordata, Mammalia, Rodentia, Muridae. The record is from RefSeq and is a predicted model, not a curated record. The transcript has 3 exons.